AAUUUAAGCAUAUUAAUAAGCGGAGGAAAAGAAACUAACAAGGAUUCCCUCAGUAACGGCGAGUGAAGCGGGAAGAGCUCAAAUUUGAAAUCUCCGAUGCUUGCAUCGGCGAGUUGUAGUUGCGAGAAGCACUUUCUAGGCGGAUCGACGGUGCCUAAGUUGCUUGGAACGGCACGUCGCAGAGGGUGACAACCCCGUCUGUGGCGCCGCCGGCCGCCGACGAUGUGCUUUCGAAGAGUCGGGUUGUUUGGGAAUGCAGCCCAAAACGGGUGGUAAACUCCAUCUAAAGCUAAAUACUGGCGUGAGACCGAUAGCGAACAAGUACCGUGAGGGAAAGAUGAAAAGAACUUUGAAAAGAGAGUUAAAAAGUACGUGAAACCGUCGAAAGGGAAACGAAUGGACUCAGCAAUGCGCCCUCUGAGAUUCAGCCGGUGGGUGGCGGCGGCGCCGGGUUUGCGGAUCUGAAUGGACCGCGGCCUGGCGCCCGCCUCUCCCCGCCGUCGCACUUCUCUGGGGCGCGCGUCAACGUGGGUUGGGACUGGGUCUGAAAGGCGCCGGGAAGGUAGGUGUGGGCCUUCGGGUCCGUUCUGUUACAGCCCGGUUCUCUCAUGGCUCGGGCCCGACCGAGGAGCGACACGGGGCAUGCCUCCUGUGGCUAGGGUCCCGCCCUUCCGGCCGGCUGUCCAGUGCGGUGGACUGCUUGCAGUGCUCCGCGACGGCUGCCGGUCGUUGGGGUGGUGAUCUCGUACCAUGCCCCUAGGAUGUUGGCGGUCAUAUGGG
Molecule: ribosomal RNA, 780 nt
Filed under: Favites stylifera
Lineage: Eukaryota; Metazoa; Cnidaria; Anthozoa; Scleractinia; Merulinidae
Description: eukaryotic LSU rRNA
Rfam family: Eukaryotic large subunit ribosomal RNA
Source: RNAcentral